CCCUCUCACUUCUUCUCUCUCCUCAACCCUCACCAAAUCGCGUCCCUCUCACUUUUUCUCUCGGUUUCUAGGGUUAGACCUUCCUACGGUUGCACUUCCUCGCCGCCGUCCCUCACCCAAUCGCGUCCAAAUCUCUUCCCACCGUCGGCCUUCCAUCGCCUCCCAUCGAUCUCUGCCGGUUUUUGGAUCGUAAUUUGAGGGUUUUGAACUUGGCGGCUCCUUUGCGGUGGUAGACUUCGGCGAGCACAAAGGUUGCCGAAAAGGAGUCAUCACCGAGGUCGUCCAUGAACCAGGUCGUGAUGCCCCCAUCGCUCGCGUCACUUUCUGACACCAUUCAGGUACAAGCACCAGAAGGAGUUGUUCGUCGCUGCAGAGGGUAUGUACACUGGCCAGUUCAUUUAUUGUGGGAAGAAGGCUAAUCUUAUGGUAGGAAAUUUUCUUCCUUUGAGAUCUAAUCCUGAAGGAGCAGUUGUUUGUAAUGUUGGUUAUCGUGGUGUUCUUGCCCGUGCUUCUGGAGAUUACGCCAUUGUUAUCUCUCACAACCCUGAUAAUGAUACCUCUAGGUUCAAGUGUUUGAGAAGCAAUGCGGAUCCCUAACUCUGUAUGGCAUGAAACAUAUGCGAGCCUUUGCUAACAUAUGUCACAAAAAGAGUAAUCAGAAAAGGACACGACGGUGAUGAACUAACUGAAGCACAUGAGCUUCCGAAGGUAUUUAUUGGAAAGGUUCCAAUCAUGCUUCGUUCAAGUUAUUGUACAUUGUAUCAGAGUUCAGAGAAGUAUCUUACAUAGCUUGGUGAGUGCCCUUAUGAUCAAGGUAGGUAUUUCAUCAUCAACGGGAGUGAAAAGCUGCUUAUUGCUCAGGAGAAGAUGAGCACGAAUCACGUCUCAUUUCACUGCCUUCUUAUAUAUGCAUCCGAAUCUUCUUCGUCUUAUUUCUCUGCCCCCUUCAAUUCGCUGGAACUCUGCUGCACCAACUGAAACUGUUGUUGAUGAAUCAUAUUUUAUCAUCAAACCCUCAAUCUCUAUUAUAUCAGCAAUUUUGUUACAUGUCGACGGCGUAAACGGAACAAAUGGCGGCGAUUAUGGCGACGAGGUGUCGGUGGCUUAGGAGAGAGUGAAAGAGGAGGACCUCUGUAACACAUCCUGUCAUCUGGGGUUACCUUCCUCGCCGUCGUCCGUCACCAAAUCGCGUCCCAAAGCAGCGUUAAAGGUUUAAAUGUGGAUGACGGUUCAACGUUUGUUGAUUCAUUGCCGAUUUAUGUCAGAGAAUUGAUCACCGGCGGCGCUGCAGGCGCUUUUGCUAAGAACGAGGUUGUUCCCGUUGGGAGAAUUAAUUCUUUUUCCAGAAUACCUGUUCCACCUGAUCUUGGUUGGUAAUUACCUAGACAUCAAGAGUCUGCUGGACUUAACCUGCCAAACCGUGGCCGAUAUGAUUAAAGGAAAAACCCCGGAGGAGAUCAGGAAGAUCUUCCAUAUCAAGAACGAAUUCACCGAGGAAGAGGAGGCGGAGAUUAGGAAGGAGAACCAGUGGGCCUUUGAAUGAUCCAACUUCAUUGCAGCAACCAUUCACUACAAACGUGAUAUUAAGCCUUUCUGACCUCCUUCCUCCGCUUGACUCGAGGCAUCAUACACCGCGAAACCAAUGAUUUUGGUGACAAAUGUAUACCCAGUUGUCUGAAAACCUUUGCAAGUAAGAGAAGCGUGUUAGAGAGAGAAAGAGUAGAGAGGAGCAGCAAUGGAGUUCGUCAGCCCAGAAGGCCUCCGCCUAGACGGUCGUCGCCCCUUGGAGAUGAGGCAGCUUCCCGCUCAAGGAAGCAGUCAAGACAUAGCACCAGUAAAGAACCCAGCCAAACUAAAAAAAAAAGGCCACCUGCAGACAUUGCAUAGCACGCAGCAGAGACAGCAACCGAGAACGGCAACAGAGUGUUAUGGAAUUAACUAGAUUUUGAUUUUUCAAGGGAUUUUGACUUUUCAGUAGUAUUGUAUUGACUUUUACUUUAUUUAAACGGAACAAUUGUUUUAUAUUUCUUAGUUUGAUUACGAAUUAAUUAUGAAUAUUGAAUUAUGAGUGUUAUGCAAUUAACUAAGAUUUAGAUCCCGUAAAAA
Long non-coding RNA from Spinacia oleracea (spinach), 2106 nucleotides. RefSeq lists it as uncharacterized. The record is from RefSeq and is a predicted model, not a curated record. Lineage: Eukaryota; Viridiplantae; Streptophyta; Magnoliopsida; Caryophyllales; Amaranthaceae. The transcript is spliced from 10 exons.